This 1015-nucleotide ribosomal RNA is filed under the name Plantibacter sp. RNAcentral's name for it is "bacterial SSU rRNA". It matches the Rfam family "Bacterial small subunit ribosomal RNA", at positions 384 to 1409 of the family's 1533-position model. Lineage: Bacteria; Bacillati; Actinomycetota; Actinomycetes; Micrococcales; Microbacteriaceae. The record is from RNAcentral.
UGAUGCAGCAACGCCGCGUGAGGGACGACGGCCUUCGGGUUGUAAACCUCUUUUAGCAGGGAAGAAGCGAAAGUGACGGUACCUGCAGAAAAAGCACCGGCUAACUACGUGCCAGCAGCCGCGGUAAUACGUAGGGUGCAAGCGUUGUCCGGAAUUAUUGGGCGUAAAGAGCUCGUAGGCGGUUUGUCGCGUCUGCUGUGAAAUCCCGAGGCUCAACCUCGGGUCUGCAGUGGGUACGGGCAGACUAGAGUGCGGUAGGGGAGAUUGGAAUUCCUGGUGUAGCGGUGGAAUGCGCAGAUAUCAGGAGGAACACCGAUGGCGAAGGCAGAUCUCUGGGCCGCUACUGACGCUGAGGAGCGAAAGGGUGGGGAGCAAACAGGCUUAGAUACCCUGGUAGUCCACCCCGUAAACGUUGGGCGCUAGAUGUGGGGACCAUUCCACGGUUUCCGUGUCGUAGCUAACGCAUUAAGCGCCCCGCCUGGGGAGUACGGCCGCAAGGCUAAAACUCAAAGGAAUUGACGGGGGCCCGCACAAGCGGCGGAGCAUGCGGAUUAAUUCGAUGCAACGCGAAGAACCUUACCAAGGCUUGACAUAUACGAGAACGGGCCAGAAAUGGUCAACUCUUUGGACACUCGUAAACAGGUGGUGCAUGGUUGUCGUCAGCUCGUGUCGUGAGAUGUUGGGUUAAGUCCCGCAACGAGCGCAACCCUCGUUCUAUGUUGCCAGCACGUAAUGGUGGGAACUCAUGGGAUACUGCCGGGGUCAACUCGGAGGAAGGUGGGGACGACGUCAAAUCAUCAUGCCCCUUAUGUCUUGGGCUUCACGCAUGCUACAAUGGCCAGUACAAAGGGCUGCAAUACCGUAAGGUGGAGCGAAUCCCAAAAAGCUGGUCCCAGUUCGGAUUGAGGUCUGCAACUCGACCUCAUGAAGUCGGAGUCGCUAGUAAUCGCAGAUCAGCAACGCUGCGGUGAAUACGUUCCCGGGCCUUGUACACACCGCCCGUCAAGUCAUGAAA